RNAcentral lists this ribosomal RNA (393 nucleotides) under uncultured bacterium. RNAcentral describes it as "bacterial SSU rRNA". It matches the Rfam family "Bacterial small subunit ribosomal RNA", at positions 151 to 518 of the family's 1533-position model. The record is from RNAcentral.
CCGAAAGGGGUACGUAAUACCGGAGUAUUCUUGCUUUUCUAUAAGUUAAUGCAAGCAAAGGUAGGGCCUCUGCAUAUGCUACUGCAUGAAGAGGGGUCUGCGUACCAUUAGCUAGUAGGUGGGGUAAUGGCCUACCUAGGCGACGAUGGUUAGCGGGUCUGAGAGGAUGAUCCGCCACACUGGCACUGGAACACGGGCCAGACUCCUACGGGAGGCAGCAGUGAGGAAUAUUGCGCAAUGGGGGAAACCCUGACGCAGCGACGCCGCGUGAGUGAGGAAGGCCUUCGGGUCGUAAAGCUCUGUCAAGAGGAAAGAAGUGUACAAUGGCUAAUACCUGUUGUAUUUGACGGUACCUCUAAAGGAAGCACCGGCUAACUCCGUGCCAGCCGCGGC